AGGUUUUACUCACGAGCUUGUCAAUCUUCUCCUUUCAGAUAGAACAGAGGGACUGAUGUAAUUGCCAAGUGGAAACAAGGAUAUGUAGAAGUGGAGGUGCACAGUAAAGAGAAGAGGUGUGUGGAGAUUUUCAGCAACAGGAAAGAGAAGAAAUCAAGCAGAGCACAAAUGUGGCCAUCUAAAGCAGAGAUGCCUCUGUGUGUUCAGCAGACACUCAUUACCCCCUCCCUCUCAGCUCACUCAUUCUUCACUAACCACCUUCUAGGAAUUGACACGGUUACACUUAUGCCCACUCUAUUAACCUUUGCCCAAAUGCACUUUUGCUCUCACUCUUGCUUGACCUGAUAAACAAGAUGGUAGAAUGGCUACUACCUUCCUGGAGCGUGGUCUGCAUCUUCAGAAGCUCAUGGAAAGUAAGUCAUUUCUACCAGUCUCUUCCAGAAAGUCAGGGAAGGCACAGCCCACCAUUCAGAAGAAAGAAAGGCAAUUUUCCUGGGAUUUCAAGAGUAUGAAAGGAAAAACUCCUUAUUGCAGCACUGGCAGUAACUGUACAAACAACAAGUUGUUCUGAAGAUUGAUUACACUCCCAAGUGUUGCUAUGACCAUGAGUCAAUGACAUCAGCAACUUAAUAUUUUACAUGUCAUAACAAAGUACUAGUAAAAAAUGAACAGGACUAACCAACUGGACAAAAUUCAGUUGUAAUGAGUUCAGGUGAUCUUAGAAAUCCCUCAGAAAUGGAAGGCAAAGCAGGUAUUGGGUGGUGUAGAAACCUCAGCAUUCG
This 782-nucleotide long non-coding RNA is filed under the name Marmota monax (woodchuck). The record is from RNAcentral. Lineage: Eukaryota; Metazoa; Chordata; Mammalia; Rodentia; Sciuridae.